This 384-nucleotide unclassified non-coding RNA is filed under the name fungal sp. Its description in RNAcentral is "partial internal transcribed spacer region". The stretch from base 1 to 46 matches the Rfam family "Eukaryotic small subunit ribosomal RNA", at positions 1786 to 1831 of the family's 1831-position model. Lineage: Eukaryota; Fungi. The record is from RNAcentral.
AAGUCGUAACAAGGUUUCCGUAGGUGAACCUGCGGAAGGAUCAUUAACACUAACUUUCUUAUCAACCUAGUUGCAUCCGUCAGAGCCUUUUAAUGCAGAGGUCGACUAGACAAUGGUUGGGUUUCUUUCGGUUCGGUCUAGUCUGCUGUGUAAGUUAGCCCGUCUUUCUUCUUCGUAAGAUAAGAAAGGCGAUCGGUCUGACGCUCUGUCUUAGAAGGUAUACAGUCUCCAACCAUGGCUGGCCCCAUUUUUUUUUUUCAACCUUGACUAUUGUACUGAUUUGGGCUUCCGAUCGAGAGGAGCAAUCCUUUCUCUCAAGCUUUUGAUGGAUUCAUCCAUUAAUUAACCAAAACACAACUCUUAACAGUGGAUAUCUCGGUUCUC